AGUGAACGCUGGCGGUAGGCCUAACACAUGCAAGUCGAACGGCAGCACAGUAAGAGCUUGCUCUUACGGGUGGCGAGUGGCGGACGGGUGAGGAAUACAUCGGAAUCUACUUUUUCGUGGGGGAUAACGUAGGGAAACUUACGCUAAUACCGCAUACGACCUACGGGUGAAAGCAGGGGAUCUUCGGACCUUGCGCGAUUGAAUGAGCCGAUGUCGGAUUAGCUAGUUGGCGGGGUAAAGGCCCACCAAGGCGACGAUCCGUAGCUGGUCUGAGAGGAUGAUCAGCCACACUGGAACUGAGACACGGUCCAGACUCCUACGGGAGGCAGCAGUGGGGAAUAUUGGACAAUGGGCGCAAGCCUGAUCCAGCCAUACCGCGUGGGUGAAGAAGGCCUUCGGGUUGUAAAGCCCUUUUGUUGGGAAAGAAAAGCAGCAGGCUAAUACCCCGCUGUCCUGACGGUACCCAAAGAAUAAGCACCGGCUAACUUCGUG
This 492-nucleotide ribosomal RNA is filed under the name uncultured bacterium. RNAcentral describes it as "partial 16S ribosomal RNA". It matches the Rfam family "Bacterial small subunit ribosomal RNA", at positions 29 to 507 of the family's 1533-position model. The record is from RNAcentral.